CCAUCGGCGCAAUCGCCUUGAGUUGAUCAUGGCUCAGAAUCAACGCUGGCGGCGUGCCUAACACAUGCAAGUCGAACGCGAAAGCCCCGCAAGGGGCAAGUAGAGUGGCAAACGGGUGAGUAACGCGUGGGUGACCUGCCUUCGAGCGGGGGAUAACGUUCCGAAAGGGACGCUAAUACCGCAUAACAUUCCGUCUUUGAACAGAUGGCAAUCAAAGCUGGGGAUCGCAAGACCCAGCACUCGAAGAGGGGCCCGCGUCCGAUUAGCUAGUUGGUGAGGUAACGGCUCACCAAGGCAUCGAUCGGUAGCCGGCCUGAGAGGGCGGACGGCCACACUGGGACUGAGACACGGCCCAGACUCCUACGGGAGGCAGCAGUGGGGAAUUGUUCGCAAUGGGCGCAAGCCUGACGACGCAACGCCGCGUGGAGGAUGAAGAUCUUCGGGUCGUAAACUCCUGUCGAAUGGGACGAACGGAUCGCGGGUGAAUAUCCCGUGGUCGUGACGGUACCGUUAAAGGAAGCCCCGGCUAACUCCGUGCCAGCAGCCGCGGUAAUACGGGGGGGGCAAGCGUUGUUCGGAAUUACUGGGCGUAAAGGGCUCGUAGGCGGCCAACUAAGUCAGACGUGAAAUCCCUCAGCUUAACUGGGGAACUGCGUCUGAUACUGGAUGGCUUGGAUUCGGGAGAGGGAUGCGGAAUUCCAGGUGUAGCGGUGAAAUGCGUAGAUAUCUGGAGGAACAC
RNAcentral lists this ribosomal RNA (739 nucleotides) under uncultured bacterium. RNAcentral describes it as "bacterial SSU rRNA". It matches the Rfam family "Bacterial small subunit ribosomal RNA", at positions 1 to 709 of the family's 1533-position model. The record is from RNAcentral.